CUCUAGAACUACUGGUACUAAAUAGUAUUAUUCAUACGUGGAAGACCUCCUCAAUCACCAAACCAUGAGGGCACUUGGACCAAGAAAAUAACUUGUACUACCAAUUGAGCAUAGUAACUAUUUCAAUGCAUGGACAACCACCUAAGAUAAUACAAACACUAUCUUCGAGUAGAACUCAAAUUAUUUGCCAUUUGGCUUCAACCUCAACCAAGCAAUAGGUAGUAACACUCGAAAUUCUACCUCCUCUUUGGCAAAGCUUCUCCCAAGAUUGUUACCUUGGUCAUUCUUUAAUGAAAUAUCAAUUCUAUCAAUCAUCUUGAAUUCUUUCCAUCUCUCUUGUACACAUAGGGAUGUAAACGAGACGGAUCGAGCUAGUUCGGUCCAACCCAAUCAAAAUAAGGUCAGGCUUUUUUUGCCUAAAUCGAGCCGAUCCGAGCCAAAUCUCUAUCAAAAAAUCGAAACUUGGCUUGAGCUUUAGACUCGAGCCUUGCCCAGUUGGCUCAAUUUUUUUUUCUUUUCGGGUCAUGCAGGCAAGCGACCACCUGAAGCAAGCAGGGGGGGCCUAUGACACGGGCAAAAAAUGGAGCCACACGGGUUAGCUCAAGCUCGGGUUGUCACCCAAAAAUGAGGCUUGGCACGAGCUUUGCUCCAUGACUCGAGCUUUUUAUAGGCCGUUUAAGCCGAAUUGACAUCCCUAUGUAUAAGCCCACUUCUUAACCUGAUUUCCUAAGCUCAAUUGACUGUUGAAUCCGUAGCUCUGUGAUGAAAAUGUGUACGGAUCCACUAAUCUUCAAGUCCAAUUCCUCAUCAUAGUGCCCACAAUAUUCACAUCUCCUUCACAAGAAUAUUCAUAGCUCAAAACCCUAUAUUAAAGAAUAAACAGAUAAACUGAACCCAAGAUUAUGAAAUUGUAGUGUAAAAUUCUGGACUAUUGGGGUUUAUGGACAACAUUCUAAUUGGGAUUAAAGUUGUGAGAGACUACUCAAAUCUCAUUCUAUAAGAUUUCAUAUAUGGUCACCAGAUUCAAUCAGCCACUAUGAACGCACUAAUUG
RNAcentral lists this long non-coding RNA (1052 nucleotides) under Olea europaea subsp. europaea. The record is from RNAcentral. Lineage: Eukaryota; Viridiplantae; Streptophyta; Magnoliopsida; Lamiales; Oleaceae.